This 497-nucleotide ribosomal RNA is filed under the name uncultured bacterium. Its description in RNAcentral is "partial 16S ribosomal RNA". It matches the Rfam family "Bacterial small subunit ribosomal RNA", at positions 28 to 507 of the family's 1533-position model. The record is from RNAcentral.
GACGAACGCUGGCGGCGUGCCUAAUACAUGCAAGUCGAGCGAACAGACGAGGCGCUUGCUCCUCGGACGUUAGCGGCGGACGGGUGAGUAACAUGUGUAUAACCUACUUAUAAGACUGGGAUAACUUCGGGAAAGCGGAUCUAAUACCGUAUAAUAUAUUGAACCGCAUGGUGCAAUAGUGAAAGUCGGUUUUUGUGUCUCUACUAGAGGGAUCCCCGCCGCUUUAGCUAGUUGUGAAGUUAACGGGUUAUCAAGGCAACCAUGCGUGGCCGACGUCACAGGGGGGUCGCCGACCCUGGAACUGAGACACGGUCCAGACUCCUACGGGAGGGAGCAGUAUGGAAUCUUCCGCAAUAGGCGAAAGCCUUGCGGAGCAACGCCGCGUGAGAGAUGGAGGCCUUCGGAUCGUAAAGCUCUGUUAUUGGGGAAAAACAAAUGUGUAAGUAACUGUGCACGUCUUGACGGUACCUAAUCAGAAAGCCCCGGCUAACUACGUG